AUUGAACGCUGGCGGCAUGCUUUACACAUGCAAGUCGAACGGUAACAGGCCGCAAGGUGCUGACGAGUGGCGAACGGGUGAGUAAUGCAUCGGAACGUGCCCAGUCGUGGGGGAUAACGCAGCGAAAGCUGUGCUAAUACCGCAUACGAUCUAUGGAUGAAAGCGGGGGACCGUAAGGCCUCGCGCGAUUGGAGCGGCCGAUGUCAGAUUAGGUAGUUGGUGGGGUAAAGGCCUACCAAGCCGACGAUCUGUAGCUGGUCUGAGAGGACGACCAGCAACACUGGGACUGAGACACGGCCCAGACUCCUACGGGAGGCAGCAGUGGGGAAUUUUGGACAAUGGGCGCAAGCCUGAUCCAGCAAUGCCGCGUGCAGGAAGAAGGCCUUCGGGUUGUAAACUGCUUUUGUACGGAACGAAACGGUCCUGGUUAAUACCUGGGGCUAAUGACGGUACCGUAAGAAUAAGCACCGGCUAACUACGUGCCAGCAGCCGCCGUAA
RNAcentral lists this ribosomal RNA (498 nucleotides) under uncultured bacterium. Its description in RNAcentral is "partial 16S ribosomal RNA". It matches the Rfam family "Bacterial small subunit ribosomal RNA", at positions 30 to 523 of the family's 1533-position model. The record is from RNAcentral.